UAAACAACCUGCCUUCAGGAUGGGGACAACAGACGGAAACGACUGCUAAUACCGAAUACGCUUGGAAGACCGCAUGAUCUUCCAAGGAAAGGGUGGCCUCUACCUGUAAGCUAUCGCCUGAAGAGGGGUUUGCGUCUGAUUAGGCAGUUGGUGAGGUAACGGCCCACCAAACCUACGAUCAGUAGCCGGUCUGAGAGGAUGAACGGCCACACUGGAACUGAGACACGGUCCAG
Molecule: ribosomal RNA, 233 nt
Filed under: uncultured bacterium
Lineage: Bacteria
Description: partial 16S ribosomal RNA
Rfam family: Bacterial small subunit ribosomal RNA
Source: RNAcentral